AGAGAAGAUCGAAAACCCUCACCAUCCAUCGCGAAGAUACUUAGCCAAAUCGCGAAUGAAACGUAACAUUCAUCACCCUUGUUAGCUUUUCCCGUCUUCUUCGCGCCACUCAUCACCCCAAAUCAGAGAAAGGGUCCGCCAUCACCACACCACUCACGGCAUCACCACUCACCUCCAAGAAGACUCUGCACUCACUCAUCUUCACCACUCACCACGCCGUCACUCAUCUUCACCGCACCGUCACUUCUCUUCGCUGUGCGCUCACAUCAAGAAGACGCUGCGCUCAACUGAAAGCCUCUCUUCAUUUGCUCACCAUCGUCGAAAAGGAGAACUCAUUCUUCUAGGUUCGUUCACCACAAGCCCUAGGUUCGUUCGUCUAUUGUCUAUUCUUGCGAUUUUGUGUAUCAAGCAGCGGAGGAGAUAACUCAAAUCAAAACUUCAAGCAGCGACGAGACUGUUGGUAUGCCUCUUCCCCCACUCUUCGUUUGUAACUGAUUCAUCUCCACUCACCGCGAUGGAGAACUGAGAUGGUAGUGACGAUGAACCGAGACAAUGGAACAAGUAAAGCUGCAAAAUUCUUGAGAGCCAAUUGAAUUUCUCUUUUCAAAGUACCAGAAGAAACAGUAGAGCUACUUGGGAAAUCUGACCUGUAUUUCUUUAGCCCCGAGCAUCCUCCAUUGACCGAACCAGCUCAGAAAGCCCUUGACUGGGCCAUGGAUGAGAAAUUGAAGUCAGGUAUUAUGGUUUCUGCCUUUCAGUUCCAUGCCAAAAUUUGUUCAAUAA
Molecule: non-coding RNA, 783 nt
Organism: Arachis ipaensis
Lineage: Eukaryota; Viridiplantae; Streptophyta; Magnoliopsida; Fabales; Fabaceae
Source: RefSeq, a predicted model, not a curated record